Molecule: non-coding RNA, 77 nt
Filed under: Tepidimonas fonticaldi
Lineage: Bacteria; Pseudomonadati; Pseudomonadota; Betaproteobacteria; Burkholderiales
Source: RNAcentral
CUUUCCGCCAGCGCCGAUUUGAGUCCCGCUUGCGGGCGCGUAACAAAUACCGCUAAAGAGGAAGACGUGGCCAUCGG